GACGAACGCUGGCGGCGUGCCUAAUACAUGCAAGUUGAGCGAUGAAGAUUGGUGCUUGCCCCAAUUUGAAGAGCAGCGAACGGGUGAGUAACGCGUGGGGAAUCUGCCUUUGAGCGGGGGACAACAUUUGGAAACGAAUGCUAAUACCGCAUAACAACUUUAAACAUAAGUUUUAAGUUUGAAAGAUGCAAUUGCAUCACUCAAAGAUGAUCCCGCGUUGUAUUAGCUAGUUGGUGAGGUAAAGGCUCACCAAGGCGAUGAUACAUAGCCGACCUGAGAGGGUGAUCGGCCACAUUGGGACUGAGACACGGCCCAAACUCCUACGGGAGGCAGCAGUAGGGAAUCUUCGGCAAUGGACGAAAGUCUGACCGAGCAACGCCGCGUGAGUGAAGAAGGGUUUCGGAUCGUAAAACUCUGUUGGUAGAGAAGAACGUUGGUAAGAGUGGAAAGCUCAUCAAGUGACGGUAACUACCCAGAAAGGGACGGCUAACUACGUG
RNAcentral lists this ribosomal RNA (497 nucleotides) under uncultured bacterium. RNAcentral describes it as "partial 16S ribosomal RNA". It matches the Rfam family "Bacterial small subunit ribosomal RNA", at positions 28 to 507 of the family's 1533-position model. The record is from RNAcentral.